GUGCGUCUUCAGGGCGGGGUGCAAUUCCCCACCGGCGGUAUGCCGGCCGGGCCGAAAGGCCAGCCGGUGAGCCCGCGAGCGCCUGUGCGUGAGUCGCUGCAAGCUGUUUUCGUCUCGCGCGCAGGGUCAGCAGAUCUGGUGCGAAGCCAGAGCCGACGGUCAUAGUCCGGAUGAGAGAAGAUGUGC
Molecule: non-coding RNA, 186 nt
Filed under: Paraburkholderia tropica
Lineage: Bacteria; Pseudomonadati; Pseudomonadota; Betaproteobacteria; Burkholderiales; Burkholderiaceae
Description: FMN sequence
Rfam family: FMN riboswitch aptamer (RFN element)
About the family: The RFN element is a highly conserved domain that is found frequently in the 5'-untranslated regions of prokaryotic mRNAs that encode for flavin mononucleotide (FMN) biosynthesis and transport proteins. This element is a metabolite-dependent riboswitch that directly binds FMN in the absence of proteins.
Source: Rfam by way of RNAcentral